GAAGCGGCAACAGCUCAAAUUUGAAAUCUGGCGCAAGCCCGAGUUGUAAUUUGUAGAGGAUGCUUCUGGGUAGCGACCGAUCUAAGUUCCUUGGAACAGGACGUCAUAGAGGGUGAGAAUCCCGUAUGUGACCGGCCCGCACCCUUUACGUAGCUCCUUCGACGAGUCGAGUUGUUUGGGAAUGCAGCUCUAAAUGGGAGGUAAAUUUCUUCUAAAGCUAAAUACCGGCCAGAGACCGAUAGCGCACAAGUAGAGUGAUCGAAAGAUGAAAAGUACUUUGGAAAGAGAGUUAAAAAGCACGUGAAAUUGUUGAAAGGGAAGCGCCUGCAACCAGACUUCGUGGCAGUGUUCCGCCGGUCUUCUGACCGGUUUAUUCUCUGUCGCGAGGCCAUCAUCGUCUAGGCCCGCCGGAUAAGACCUUAGGAAUGUAGCUCACCUUCGGGGGAGUGUUAUAGCCUAUGGUGAUGCGGCGAGGCUUGGGCGAGGUCCGCGCUUCGGCAAGGAUGAUGGCGUAAUGGUUGUCGGCGGCCCGUCUUGAAACACGGACCAAGGAGUCUAACAUCUAUGCGAGUGUUCGGGUGUCAAACCCCUACGCGUAAUGAAAGUGAACGGAGGUGGGAACCGCAAGGUGCACCAUCGACCGAUCCUGAUGUCCUCGGAUGGAUUUGAGUAAGAGCAUAGCUGUUGGGACCCGAAAGAUGGUGAACUAUGCCUGAAUAGGGUGAAGCCAGAGGAAACUCUGGUGGA
This 747-nucleotide ribosomal RNA is filed under the name Septoria eucalyptorum. Its description in RNAcentral is "eukaryotic LSU rRNA". It matches the Rfam family "Eukaryotic large subunit ribosomal RNA", at positions 95 to 871 of the family's 3401-position model. Lineage: Eukaryota; Fungi; Ascomycota; Dothideomycetes; Mycosphaerellales; Mycosphaerellaceae. The record is from RNAcentral.